AAAUUGAGAUGUGCCUCUGCUAAUUCGUAACAACUGCAUGAAUUGCUUUUACUUUCAAUUUCAGCUUUAUUGCACCAUCCCACUCGUGGAAAUGACUAGCUUCCUCAGCUCUCUCUCUUUUUCUCCUUUAUAAAGGAGGGACACAAAAGAAAAGUGGAAGGAGGAACGAGAGCAAGGGGGUAGUGAAAGGCAACUGAAAACUCAAAACUUGGACCUGUGGUGCUGAAGAGCAGGCUCUUCUAGGUCGGCAGUUGCCAUGGAAUCUGGACCCAAAAUGUUGGCCCCCAUUUGCCUGGUGGAAAACAACAAUGACAAGCUGUUGGUGAACCAGCAAGCUAUACAGAUUCUUGACAAGAUUUCUCAGCCAGUGGUGGUGGUGGCCAUUGUUGGACUGUACCGUACAGGCAAAUCCUACUUGAUGAACCGUCUGGCAGGAGAGAAUCAUGGCUUCCCUCUGGGCUCCACCGUGCAGUCUGAAACCAAGGGCAUCUGGAUGUGGUGCGUGCCCCACCCCUCCAAGCCAAACCACACCCUGGUCCUUCUGGACACCGAGGGUCUGGGCGAUGUAGAAAAGGUAAGACAGGGAGUCAUAGGCAGGUUCUUUUUAUUCCAGACAUGAUCUUUGUAAUUUAAUUGUUGUGAUAUAUUUGUGAAAACUAGAAAUCCAACUACAGUGAAUAAGGCAAACUUUGACCUGUUUGAGUCACACUUCCAGACAAGAUUAGAUAUCAUGGUAUAUUAGGUAAAACAUUCUUUUAUUUCUUGGCACAGUGGUGAAUGAUUUGAUUCAAUUUCAUAAAAUCUUGUUAAGCAGUUGAGUUCCAGGCCUUUGGGCUGAGUAGCAUAGACAUUGGUGAACAAAGUAAAGGUCCUGCCCACAAAGAGCCCUCCGGAUGUAGCGUGACUGGGAAAGAAGCAGGUUGCCGAGAGGGAGGAGAUUGGAAUGCAAUGCAUUCCCUGCCCUCCGUCAAUUCCACAGGGAGCUCUGUGGCUGGAAUGGCCCUUUUGAGUUACCAUGUUUUGGGACAAGGGUGCUAGGCCUUCAUCCCUGGUGCUGGUCAAUCACUGGAAGUCUGUCCUGGAAAACUUUCUCAUUAAGAGAGCUGACACCUGUGAUCUAGGCAGCACCUCACAGUUUUCACCACGUACAGUUGCGUAUAACAGUGCCUUGAUAAGAAAGAGAAGAGGUGUUGACUCCAAUCUCAGGAGAUGAGGAAAGGCCUCUCACCCACCUUCUGAGCUACCACCUGAAGAGUACAUUUGAGGGUUGGAAUUAAGAGAGUUCAGUUUAUAUUUCUCAUGAUGAAGCUCAUCAACUACCCACAGAGCAUUCUGGAAGGCUUUGAGACACUUCUGAUUGUGUUCGUCAUAUAAAAGUAUUUGUUCUUCCUACAAUAAACAUUAUAAGAUGAAUUUUUGGUGUUUAGCUUCUUAUGAAUGGGUGAAAUAAAUAAUUUCUCUCUUUUUUUGUCUUAGUUUGAGACUUAUUUGGGAAUAGUUUCUAAAUUCUAUACACAUACACUUUAUUUUUGCCCAAACAGGCAUUGGAAAUUCUGUUUAUUUUUUGGCUUUAGUGUUGUAUAAUUGACAAAUAAAAAUUGUAUAUAAUUAAGGUG
Molecule: RNA transcript, 1616 nt
Organism: Cercocebus atys (sooty mangabey)
Lineage: Eukaryota; Metazoa; Chordata; Mammalia; Primates; Cercopithecidae
Gene name: guanylate-binding protein 6-like
Exons: 4
Source: RefSeq, a predicted model, not a curated record